AGGAGAGGAGAGGAGAGGAGAGGAGAGGAGAUACAAGUUGCUGUGCUGAAAGACCUGAUUAUGCUGGACCAAGCACGAAAUCUAUUAUGGAGAGAAUCCUGUUCUUGGGUCUGGAUAAAGCACAAAAUCUCUCUUCUUCCUUUGGAUAGCACAACACAGCUUUGUGUCAUCUGUGUAAAGGACACCAGCCCUUAGCAGCCUCCAGGAAUCAUCUCAGUGGGCUGACUGAUGUCCACCUGCUUGGUCUCUGAACACAGCUCAGAAAUGUCACAUCCACAUCCUCCUUGCCUGCUGAGUGCCACGCAGACACAGUGUGGCGAGGACACCUGAUGGGUUGUGCUGGCUCUGUGCUCAGCAGGGUGAGAUUUACUGCCUGUUGUGUGCAGCACUGCACCCAUUAAUGGCUGGUGCACGGUCCUGGGGUGGCUCCAAUGCCUUACCAUUUUCUGGUAAGGAGACCCAGUCCAAGAUCCAUUGAUGUUGUGUGCUAGGCUGAGAUUCCAGCUGGUGGUUUUGCUUUCCACAUCCCUUGAUCUUGGAAGACCCUCAUCAGGCUUCUCCCUGGGGAUGCUGGUAGUUCAUAACCCUGAGGUGGAGAGUGUCUGGAAUGCCAGGCUGUGUGCAGUAUGGCCCUUACCCCCAGUGACUUGCUUGGGUCUGCCUUCAGUGCCUCGGCCAUGGGAUCAGAGAAGGACCAGCACUAACACAAGGAAUGGGGCAGGACAUCCUGACCAAGUCACAGUGGCCUCAGCCUGGUCCUGUUGAAGGUGUCAUGAAACUGCCCUAUAUGUCUGAUCCUCCUUAAAGAGUAAUUCAGCAUUCCAGAGUGAGCAGCUAAACAACAAAUUUAAUUUGAUUUUCUACUGUGUCCUCUCUCUCAUGUGCUCCUAUUCGUCCAUGGACCCCAUUCACUCUCCUCAGCCUCCUGCUUCUGCUGUGGUUGAAAGUGUCCCAUCAUUCCAUUUUAUGCUUUUAGCAAGUUGCUUUUCAUUUUCUUGCUCUUUAUUGUUCUUUCACAUCCACUUUAUCAGACUGUGUUCUUUUGCAUCUUCCUUAACUCCUUAUCUUAUAAAGAAAUUAUUUUUAAAUCUCAGAAGUGUUACAUGGUUCAAUCAUGUUGGCUUAUUUUUUCUUUCUGCUUUGAGUAUUUUUUAUUUGAUGAGGAGUCUGCUGUAUAGUGUCCCUAAAUAAUCUGAUGUUAUCUAAAAGUGCUUUACUAGUUUUAGCUACUGAUUUCAAUGAAUUUCAUCACUUCUAUGUGAUUUCCCUUUUUAAAGUUAAACAUUUAGCUUGAUAUUCAGUCUUUGUAGUUCUUCUGAGAACCUGAGUCACUUUCAUCUUUCUCUCUCUGGCAUGAACUGUUCUGACAUUUAUACUGUCUAAACCUGGUAUAAUAGUAUUUUACCAAUUAGCUUUUUCUAGAAAGUUUCUCAGAUAUAUAGAUUGCCCAUAUACUUCUUUGAAUUCCAGCAUUCCUAGUUCAUCAUCUCUUAUUUUCAGAUCACUGCCAUUUGUACCAAAAUGGUUUUAAUGGAUGUGAUGCCAAAAUACCAGGAAUUUGCAAGGAGCAGGACUGAGCUGUGUUAAACCAGCAGAUUAAUUAAAAUUAAAAUUUGCGGACUAGCAGCAAA
Molecule: long non-coding RNA, 1631 nt
Organism: Haemorhous mexicanus (house finch)
Lineage: Eukaryota; Metazoa; Chordata; Aves; Passeriformes; Fringillidae
Exons: 2
Source: RefSeq, a predicted model, not a curated record